This is a long non-coding RNA of Poecile atricapillus (Black-capped chickadee), 1625 nucleotides long. RefSeq lists it as uncharacterized. The record is from RefSeq and is a predicted model, not a curated record. Lineage: Eukaryota; Metazoa; Chordata; Aves; Passeriformes; Paridae. The transcript is spliced from 3 exons.
AGCUUCCAGUCAGCAUUUUCAUCUGACAGUUCGAUGAGGGCAUCUACGCAGAGUCCCCUGAAAGGAAACACAGAGGCUUGUUCAGCACAGGGCUGUGCUAGGCCAGUCCCUGCUCUGCUGUCUUCAGAGUGCAGGGAUGAUUUAUUUCUGAACGGAAUCCAAAUCUGGCACAUUUCUCAGCCAUCACCUGGCUCCAACAGAGAGAAGGAAAGAGUGAGAAGAACUGUUGCAGACAUCUCUCUCCCUCUCUCUCUGCAACCAUGGAAUUUUUUUCCUGUCUGGUUGGGAAGGCUUUGGAUACCGACUCCCAUGGCUUGACUUUCAAAAACAAACAAACAAAAAUAAAGUCACGUCUCCAUUUGGUGAUUAUGAGAACCCAGAGAGAUGCUGCUUCAGGGAAAGCAUCCCCUCUUCUGAGUCACUCCAGAAAAGCAGUGAUUUAAUGAGGCAGCUCCCAGUCUGAACUGCACCAGGGCUGCAAAUGCCGUUCCUGCUCUGCUCCACUCUCAAACACUCGGUCCUGCUCCAUUGCUCCCCAUCCUUCAGAUGCCCGUGCCUGCCUCCUGAGACACACAACGAGUGCUGCAGCUGUCAGCAGAGGAGGAUAUCAUUGCCCUGCUGGCCCCAUCCAAACCCAGCUAGGCAAGCUAAUGGGCAUCGGGAGGUUUGCAUGCAGAAGCUUAAAUGGGAGGCUGAUAUGUGCACUACAGAGAUACACAGGCUUGCCUGGAGAAGCAGAGUGCACCCAGGACUCGUGCAGGGACAACACGGCACUGCCUCCAGCCGGGGAGCAGGUGCCUGGGUCUUCCCAGCUCUCCUCCCGUGAUGAGUAAUUGCAAGAGACACUGCCACCACCUCUACACACACCCAGAGGUGACAACCUGCAGAGACAUAAAGGACCUGAGUACAUCACUGCAGUCACUUAAACACGGGGCUUUUGAACUCCACUAGCCUAUCUUGCCCCAAACCAGCAACAAGUGCCAGCCACAUGUGAUGAGGACAAUCUGAGCACUUGCUCAUGUCACCUUUCAUCCUGCCCUGGAGACAGUGACAAGGCAUCAGAGACUUGCUAUGAGCUUCAGUAAUGCCCUGGGCUAGAAGGAGAGGGCUCCAAGCCCUGCUAGUGACCCAGAGGCUCUCCAUGCCUCCUGCAGCCUGCGUUCCUAGAAGAGGGAUCACUGCUUGAAUCACCUCCAGCAGCAUGAACUAUUCUCUAAUACUUCCUGAGCCCUUCCCAGGACGUUUUUCUUUUUGCCCUGUGGCCUGGCUGGGCCGCAUUUCAGAGAUGAAAGGCUGUGAGCGCACACAGAUGCCGGCAUCCUUACGCAUUCCUGGCUCGAAAGCUUUCCUCGAAGCAGCUGCACUGCCAGGGAGCAGCAGCUGCCUCCCAGCCCAGAAGAGAGGGCUGCAAACCCCAGCUUGCCAGGUAUGCUGCAAGAUCCCAGCACAAACCCCUCUGGCUUUGGGACCAGCUGUGACCCCCUCGGGCCCCCAACUAGCUCAGCAGAAACCAAGACAGCUUUCUUGCUUUCCCUGAGAGUUACAACUGCCUUAAGGAGACACAGUGCAAAAUGUAGAGGCCAUGAUGCUAUCAGCACGCAAACUUGCUCAAUAAAAACAUGUGU